CAGUCGCGUUCUCUGGGAUUCAGCCUUGCUUUUGCUUGGUGCAUUUCCUAGUCUACGGGCCAGCAUGGAUUUCGAUCGGUGGAAAAGGGUUGGGGGAAUGUGGCACCUCCGGGUGUGUUAUAGCCCUUGGUCGUAUACAUCGGUUGGGACUGAGGAACUCAGCACGCCGCAAGGCCGGUCUUCGGACACGUUCGUGCUUAGGAUGCUGGCAUAAUGGCUUUAANCGACCCGUCUUGAAACACGGACCAAGGAGUCUAACAUAUAUGCGAGUGUU
Molecule: ribosomal RNA, 274 nt
Filed under: Diversispora epigaea
Lineage: Eukaryota; Fungi; Glomeromycota; Glomeromycetes; Diversisporales; Diversisporaceae
Source: RNAcentral